CUUUGGAUGGCUGAAAAAGCGAAAGUCUUUUAAACUUUUUAUAGUAAUACUUCCAUAGA
Molecule: transfer RNA, 59 nt
Filed under: Bactrurus brachycaudus
Lineage: Eukaryota; Metazoa; Arthropoda; Malacostraca; Amphipoda; Crangonyctidae
Description: tRNA-Lys
Source: RNAcentral